This 933-nucleotide ribosomal RNA is filed under the name uncultured archaeon. Its description in RNAcentral is "bacterial SSU rRNA". It matches the Rfam family "Archaeal small subunit ribosomal RNA", at positions 454 to 1386 of the family's 1478-position model. The record is from RNAcentral.
UGUGCCAGCCGCCGCGGUAAAACCAGCACCUCAAGUGGUCAGGAUGAUUAUUGGGCCUAAAGCAUCCGUAGCUCGUUUUGUAAGUUUUCGGUUAAAUCCAUGCGCUCAACGUAUGGGCUGCCGGGAGUACUGCAUAACUAGGAAGUGGGAGGGGUAGACGGUACUCGGUAGGAAGGGGUAAAAUCCUUUGAUCUAUUGACGACCACCUGUGGCGAAGGCGGUCUACCAGAACACGUUCGACGGUGAGGGAUGAAAGCUGGGGGAGCAAACCGGAUUAGAUACCCGGGUAGUCCCAGCUGUAAACUAUGCAAACUCAGUGACGCAUUGGCUUGUGGCCAAUGCAGUGCUGCAGGGAAGCCGUUAAGUUUGCCGCCUGGGAAGUACGUACGCAAGUAUGAAACUUAAAGGAAUUGGCGGGGGGGCACCACAAGGGGUGAAGCCUGCGGUUCAAUUGGAGUCAACGCCAGAAAUCUUACCCGGAGAGACAGCAGAAUGAAGGUCAAGCUGAAGACUUUACCAGACAAGCUGAGAGGUGGUGCAUGGCCGUCGCCAGCUCGUGCCGUGAGAUGUCCUGUUAAGUCAGGUAACGAGCGAGAUCCCUGCCUCUAGUUGCCACCAUUACUCUCAGGAGUAGUGGGGCGAAUUAGCGGGACCGCCGCAGUUAAUGCGGAGGAAGGAAGGGGCCACGGCAGGUCAGUAUGCCCCGAAACUCUGGGGCCACACGCGGGCUGCAAUGGUAGUGACAAUUGGUUCCGAAUCCGAAAGGAGGAGGUAAUCCCUAAACGCUACCACAGUCAUGACUGAGGGCUGCAACUCGCCCUCACGAAUAUGGAAUCCCUAGUAACUGCGCGUCACUACCGCGCGGUGAAUACGUCCCUGCUCCUUGCACACACCGCCCGUCGUUUCAUUGAAGUUGGCUUUUAGCGAGGUGAC